AACGAACGCUGGCGGCAUGCCUAACACAUGCAAGUCGAACGAGACCUUCGGGUCUAGUGGCGCACGGGUGCGUAACGCGUGGGAACCUGCCCUUAGGUUCGGAAUAACUCCUCGAAAGGGGUGCUAAUACCGGAUGAUGUCUUCGGACCAAAGAUUUAUUGCCUAAGGAUGGGCCCGCGUUGGAUUAGCUUGUUGGUGGG
Molecule: ribosomal RNA, 200 nt
Filed under: uncultured bacterium
Lineage: Bacteria
Description: partial 16S ribosomal RNA
Rfam family: Bacterial small subunit ribosomal RNA
Source: RNAcentral